RNAcentral lists this long non-coding RNA (227 nucleotides) under Homo sapiens (human). RNAcentral's name for it is "non-protein coding lnc-HERPUD2-6:1". The record is from RNAcentral. Lineage: Eukaryota; Metazoa; Chordata; Mammalia; Primates; Hominidae.
GAAAACUGGCUAGCCGUAUGCAGAAAACUGAAACUGGACCCUUCCUCACACCUUAUACAAAAUUUAACUCAAGAUGGGUUAAAGAUUUAAACGUAAGACCUAAAACCAUAUUUAAAAUUCCAUUGCAAGCUCAAAAAUGCUCAAAUUGCAAAGCGUGUCCGUAGGAGAAGUAUCUACUUGGUGUAUAUUUGCCCUUCUGUCUCACGAAUCUUCCACGAACACUUCAU